GUUAUAUGGUCAAGCGAAUAAGCGCAUACGGUGGAUGCCUAGGCGGUAGGAGGCGAUGAAGGACGUGGCAGCCUGCGAUAAGCCUCGGGGAGCCGGCAACAGGCUUUGAUCCGAGGAUUUCCGAAUGGGGAAACCCGGCCACCUUCGGGUGGUCAUCCGCACCUGAAUCCAUAGGGUGCGGAGGCGAACCCGGGGAACUGAAACAUCUAAGUACCCGGAGGAAGAGAAAUCAACCGAGAUUCCCUUAGUAGCGGCGAGCGAACGGGGAACAGCCCAGUCCACUGUAUCACAGCGCUCCUUAGAAGAACGGUCUGGAAAGUCCGGCCAUAGAGGGUGAUAGCCCCGUAUUCGAAAAGGAGCGCUGUGUUGGUGGCGAGGAGUAAGGCGGGACACGUGUUAUCCUGUCUGAAGAUGGGGGGCCCACCCUCCAAGGCUAAAUACUCCCUACCGACCGAUAGCGAACGAGUACCGUGAGGGAAAGGUGAAAAGAACCCCGGAGAGGGGAGUGAAAUAGAGCCUAAAACCGUAUGCGUACAAGCAGUCGGAGCCUGUCUUCGGACGGGUGACGGCGUACCUUUUGUAUAAUGGGUCAGCGACUUACUUUCAGUGGCAAGCUUAACCGUUUAGGGAAGGCGUAGGGAAACCGAGUCCGAACAGGGCGACCAGUCGCUGGGAGUAGACCCGAAACCGGGCGAUCUAUCCAUGGCCAGGGUGAAGGUGGGGUA
RNAcentral lists this ribosomal RNA (725 nucleotides) under Calditrichota bacterium. Its description in RNAcentral is "bacterial LSU rRNA". It matches the Rfam family "Bacterial large subunit ribosomal RNA", at positions 1 to 758 of the family's 2925-position model. The record is from RNAcentral. Lineage: Bacteria; Pseudomonadati; Calditrichota.